Molecule: long non-coding RNA, 734 nt
Organism: Prunus dulcis (almond)
Lineage: Eukaryota; Viridiplantae; Streptophyta; Magnoliopsida; Rosales; Rosaceae
Exons: 2
Source: RefSeq, a predicted model, not a curated record
UACACGCCUCUCUCUCUCUCUCUCUCUCUCUCUCUCUCUCUCACAGAGGCACACAUAAACAGAGAGACCCAUGCACUUCACUUCUCUCUAUAAAAUCUCUUUCUUUCUAAUUGGGUUUGUUGAGCUGAGGCAUGGUUGCUGGCCAAAUCUGGAAUAGCCUAUUUCAUGGUUGUCUACCAUUUGAAGGAAAUCUUCUUCUUUGGGCAGAGCCCUUCCCGUCCACCAGCUAUACCAGUCUCUAGCUCAACACACAGUGCUUUGUUUAAGGAGGUUAGUCGGUAAAACCCAUUUGAUCAGUGACAGUGGAAGAGGCUUCAAAUUAGAGAACCCAAGGGAGCUGGAAAGUGAGCACUUUGGAAGAGCAGAGGAAGAUGAGAAGAAUGGAAACGAAGAAGGCAAGCAAUUUGGUGGGAAAAAAGGUGGUUCUGUAAAACAGUGGAACCCUCCAGAUUUAAACAGUGAAGAACCAACAGCUCUCCCAUUUUACCCCUGUAGCUCUCCAACCAGCUAGUUGAAAUCCAACCAGACACCUCUCAACCCUAAACAACAGCUAGUUACAUCCCAAGGAAAGAGAGGGCAAAACGGGAAAAAUACAGAACAAUCAGUCAAGGGCAAAAUGGCAAUUUUACUGUUCAAAAGGAAAGGAAAAGCUGGCUGUACAGUUUUAAAUAGAGGCAUUUUCGUAAUUUUACUGUGCUUAGCUACAGUGUUUAGUUGCAUUGGGCUUUAGUAUA